RNAcentral lists this ribosomal RNA (374 nucleotides) under uncultured bacterium. RNAcentral's name for it is "partial 16S ribosomal RNA". It matches the Rfam family "Bacterial small subunit ribosomal RNA", at positions 32 to 401 of the family's 1533-position model. The record is from RNAcentral.
AAUCAACGCUGGCGGCGUGCCUCAGACAUGCAAGUCGAACGAUUAAAGCUCUCUUCGGAGAGUGUAUAGAGUGGCGCACGGGUGAGUAACACGUAAGUAAUCUACCUUCGAGUGGGAAUAACCGGGAACCCGAGCUAAUACCGCAUAAUGCAGCGGCAUCUAAUGAUGACAGUUGUUAAAGAUUUAUCGCUUGAAGAGGAGCUUGCGGCAGAUUAGCUAGUUGGUAGGGGUAAUGGCCUACCAAGGCGACGAUCGGUAGCUGGUCUGAGAGGACGACCAGCCACACUGGGACUGAGACACGGCCCAGACUCCUACGGGAGGCAGCAGUGGGGAAUAUUGGACAAUGGGCGCAAGCCUGAUCCAGCGAUGCCGCG